Magnolia sinica is the source of this 922-nucleotide long non-coding RNA. RefSeq lists it as uncharacterized. Lineage: Eukaryota; Viridiplantae; Streptophyta; Magnoliopsida; Magnoliales; Magnoliaceae. The transcript has 4 exons. The record is from RefSeq and is a predicted model, not a curated record.
UCUCUCUCUCUCUCCCCCUUCUGCCAAGCAAGAGCUCUCUCUCAAUCUAGCGGCGAAGCAACCUCCAUGGCACAAUCACUCUUGGUGUUGUGAAAAUGCACUUCUGGUCCUAGAGUAUUGGGCUGAUGCGGCUGAAAUUCAGAGAUCAUCCAAUCUUUAUGAAGAUCUCAUAAAAUUUUAUGUUGCAGAUGCAAUGAGCGAGGUAUAACCUAGCUGUGUGUUUCUUGCUCAGGAUUUGCCAUAAGAAAGAAUGUGCAUGCCUGAACUCUAGGGGUUGCAAUUUUGCAUAUCUAUUUUUGUCAUUUCUUACUAAUAAAACAAAAGUCAUUUCUCUCUCUAAACUGCUCCUGGUAAUGGGAUUAUUAACACAAUUUCAGGUUUUAAUGCUCGGUAUCGGUUCUGACUUGGUAAUGACUGGAUCUGUUCUACUUGUGUGUGGAAAUGAUGUGAGAGUCAAAUGGGUUUUGGAUAUCUUGGAUUAGAUGUUCUGCAUUACAGGUUUCGAGGAUGGACUCUGGCUGGUCAAGGUCAGAGGAGAAGCCAUGUAGGGGGGCAUCUAAACUGGCUCACUGGGAAGUUGCAGAUGCUGCUAACAGUACUUGGUUGGUGUCAUAGAACUAGAUUCAGAAAAGGUCCAGCUGCUAUGCGAUGCACCUAAUGAAGAAGUAGAUGAGAAAAAUAAAGAUCAAAUUGCAAACUUCCUCUGUCCAGGUAACUAUGUCGUUUCUGGAGGUGUGAAAGCAGUGGAAGGUAUGGCAAAGUCAUUUAAGGCUCGAAUGAUGGUUAAUUACUCUUAGAUUAUUAAUUACCAUUUUUCCAUAAUUUGAUAAAAGCUUCAUGCAUUAUGCUUUACCAUAUUUUUGCAUACUUAGCUUGUAUUUCUCUUAAAAGACUAAUGUUUGUGGUACAGAAAUUGAAAUUA